This 478-nucleotide ribosomal RNA is filed under the name uncultured bacterium. Its description in RNAcentral is "bacterial SSU rRNA". It matches the Rfam family "Bacterial small subunit ribosomal RNA", at positions 28 to 500 of the family's 1533-position model. The record is from RNAcentral.
GAUGAACGCUAGCGGCAGGCUUAACACAUGCAAGUCGAGGGGCAACACGGGUAGCAAUACCUGGUGGCGACCGGCGCAAGGGUGCGUAACGCGUGAGCAACAUACCCUAUACAGGGGGAUAAUCCAGGGAAACUUGGUCUAAUAUCCCAUAGGAUUUACAGAUGUCAUCAUCUAUAAAUUAAAGCUUCGGUGGUAUAGGAUUGGCUCGCGUGACAUUAGCUAGAUGGUGGGGUAACGGCCUACCAUGGCCAUGAUGUCUAGGGGUUCUGAGAGGAAGACCCCCCACACUGGGACUGAGACACGGCCCAGACUCCUACGGGAGGCAGCAGUGAGGAAUAUUGGACAAUGGAUGGAAAUCUGAUCCAGCCAUGCCGCGUGCAGGAAGACGGCCCUAUGGGGUUGUAAACUGCUUUUAUAUGGGAGCAAUAAGGUCUACGCGUAGACCGAUGAGAGUACCAUAUGAAUAAGCAUCGGCUAA